Molecule: long non-coding RNA, 121 nt
Organism: Sinocyclocheilus anshuiensis
Lineage: Eukaryota; Metazoa; Chordata; Actinopteri; Cypriniformes; Cyprinidae
Exons: 3
Source: RefSeq, a predicted model, not a curated record
GUUCCAUUUAUAUGAAGGUAUUUUUGGUGCAAAACAACUGAGCAUCUGUGACAGCGGAAUUUGUACUAGUAGAGAAUAGCCACACGUGUAUCAGUAAAUUUGAAUUGAAGCUCACAGAUCA